CCCUUAGAAGUUCUGGGCUGCACGCGCGCGACACUGAUGCGCUCAAGGAGUUUACGACCUUGCCUGGAAAGGUUGGGUAAUCUUCUUAAAAAACAUCGUGAUGGAGCUAGAUUAUUGCAACUAUUAAUCUUCAACGAGGAAUUCCUAGUAAGCGCGAGUCAUCGGCUCGUGCUGAUUACGUCCCUGCCCUUUGUACACACCGCCCGUCGCUCCUACCGAUUGCGUGCUACUGAAUAAUUCGGACUGCAGCAACGUUCGGUUCCUGAAUGUCGCAGUGGAAAGUUUAGUGAACCUUAUCACUUAGAGAAAAAAAAAGUCGUAACA
RNAcentral lists this ribosomal RNA (324 nucleotides) under uncultured eukaryote. RNAcentral describes it as "partial 18S ribosomal RNA". It matches the Rfam family "Eukaryotic small subunit ribosomal RNA", at positions 1470 to 1796 of the family's 1831-position model. The record is from RNAcentral.